CCCCUGCUGCCUGCCUGGAGGCCGACGCCCCCUAGAUCCUGCUGCCUCUGAAGAUGGCACAACACCCACGGUAUCCCCUCCUACAAAUGGUUUAUGAUGAGCGGCACCGUGGCAAGAUACUAGAGGAGCGUACGGAGGUUUUGAGGCCUCUACGUCCCCGCCUUCACAAGACUCACACUUGGGACGAUAGGUACGCACCGUACCUUAAACGGGCUGGAUUCCUCCCGUUGGCGUGGUUAGUCAAGGAUGGGCUCCCCAGGAUGGAUAAUGCAGCUCUGACAGCACUUGUUGACCGAUGGAGGCCUGAGACACACACAUUCCACCUUCCUGCCGGUGUGAUGACCAUUACACUACAAGAUGUGGCUAUGCUCUUUGGACUUCGUAUAGAUGGAAGAGCUGUGACCGGGAGCAUAUGUCCAAAUGGAUGGAGAGAUAGAGUGGAGUUGUUGUUUGGAGUGCACCCACCUGAACCACCAGAAGACACGAAAGACAAGAAGCCUACCGGAGUGACGUCAGCAUGGUUGUCCGAUCAUUUUGGUACGCCACCUCCAGCUCAUGCUCCGGCAGGGGUGGUUGCUAGGUUCGCCCGAGCGUGGCUAUGGCAAUUGGUCGCAGGGUUUCUAUUCCCGGAUUCGAGCGGGAACACAAUCUUGUGGAUGUGGUUAGAACUAAUUGGUCAGGAAUGGGACAACAUUGGUAGUUUCAGCUGAGGAAAUGUAGCACUUGGAUGGUUGUACCGUCAGAUGUGUGAUGCGUGUAGGCGGAGCAGAGAUAAUGCAAGCCUUGGGGGUU
Panicum virgatum (switchgrass) is the source of this 792-nucleotide long non-coding RNA. RefSeq lists it as uncharacterized. NCBI's taxonomy places the organism in Eukaryota, Viridiplantae, Streptophyta, Magnoliopsida, Poales, Poaceae. The transcript is spliced from 3 exons. The record is from RefSeq and is a predicted model, not a curated record.